Molecule: ribosomal RNA, 481 nt
Filed under: uncultured bacterium
Lineage: Bacteria
Description: partial 16S ribosomal RNA
Rfam family: Bacterial small subunit ribosomal RNA
Source: RNAcentral
UUGCACGCUGGCGGCCUGCCUUACACCUGCCAGUCGAACGGUAACGGGCCUUCGGGUGCCGCCGCGUGGCGAACGGGUGAGUAAUACAUCGGAACGUGCCCGAUCGUGGGGGAUAACGAGGCGAAAGCUUUGCUAAUACCGCAUACGAUCUACGGAUGAAAGCAGGGGACCGCAAGGCCUUGCGCGGACGGAGCGGCCGAUGGCAGAUUAGGUAGUUGGUGGGAUAAAAGCUUACCAAGCCGACGAUCUGUAGCUGGUCUGAGAGGAUGAUCAGCCACACUGGGACUGAGACACGGCCCAGACUCCUACGGGAGGCAGCAGUGGGGAAUUUUGGACAAUGGGCGCAAGCCUGAUCCAGCCAUGCCGCGUGCAGGAUGAAGGCCUUCGGGUUGUAAACUGCUUUUGUACGGAACGAAAAGCCUUCUUUUAAUACAGGAGGGUCAUGACGGUACCGUAAGAAUAAGCACCGGCUAACUACGUG